RNAcentral lists this ribosomal RNA (483 nucleotides) under uncultured bacterium. RNAcentral describes it as "bacterial SSU rRNA". It matches the Rfam family "Bacterial small subunit ribosomal RNA", at positions 19 to 518 of the family's 1533-position model. The record is from RNAcentral.
CUGGCUCAGGAUGAACGCUGGCGGCGUGCCUAACACAUGCAAGUCGAACGUGAGGGGGUAGCAAUAUCCUUGAAAGUGGCGCACGGGUGAGUAAUACGUAGGUGACCUGCCCUGGAGUGGGGGAUAACAGCUAGAAAUGGCUGCUAAUACCGCAUAAGACCGGAAUGCUGGGAAGUAUUCUGGUAAAAAACUCUGGUGCUUCAGGAGGGGCCUGCGGCCGAUUAGCUAGUUGGCGGGGUAAGAGCCCACCAAGGCAGUGAUCGGUAGCUGGUCUGAGAGGACGAUCAGCCACACGGGAACUGAGACACGGUCCCGACUCCUACGGGGGGCAGCAGUGAGGAAUAUUGGGCAAAUGGGCGGAAGCCUGACCCAGCAACGCCGCGUGGAGGAAGACGGCCUUCGGGUUGUAAACUCCUUUUACGGGGGAAGAGGAAGGACGGUACCCCGAGAAUAAGUCACGGCUAACUACGUGCCAGCAGCCGC